This 253-nucleotide ribosomal RNA is filed under the name uncultured bacterium. RNAcentral's name for it is "partial 16S ribosomal RNA". It matches the Rfam family "Bacterial small subunit ribosomal RNA", at positions 524 to 776 of the family's 1533-position model. The record is from RNAcentral.
UACGUAGGGAGCAAGCGUUGUCCGGAAUCAUUGGGCGUAAAGCGCGCGUAGGUGGCCUCAUAAGUCCGCUGUGAAAGUCAAAGGCUCAACCUUUGAAAGCCGGUGGAUACUGUGAGGCUAGAGUACGGAAGAGGCGAGUGGAAUUCCUGGUGUAGCGGUGGAAUGCGCAGAUAUCAGGAGGAACACCGGUGGCGAAGGCGGGUCUCUGGGCCGAUACUGACACUGAGAAGCGAAAGCGUGGGGAGCGAACAGG